RNAcentral lists this ribosomal RNA (928 nucleotides) under uncultured bacterium. Its description in RNAcentral is "bacterial SSU rRNA". It matches the Rfam family "Bacterial small subunit ribosomal RNA", at positions 522 to 1501 of the family's 1533-position model. The record is from RNAcentral.
UAAACGUAUAGUCCAAGCAUACCGGAAUCAUUGGUGUAAGGGUCGUAGGUGGAAAAUAAGUGGAUAUGAAGCCGAGUCACUCGAGUUGUAUUCAAACUGUAUUUCUAGAUAGGAGAGGUAAGCGGAUUUUAAGUGUAGGGGUGCAUCGUAGAUACUUAAAGAACACCAAAAGCGAAGCAGCUUACUGGAACUGAAUGACACUGAGGAACGAAAGCAUGGGUAGCGAAAAGGAUUAGAUACCUGUAGUCCAUGCCCUAAACGAUGAUAACUAAGUGUUGGGACUAGAUCUCAGUGCUGAAGCUAACGCAUUAAGUUAUCCACGUGAGGAGUACGGUCGCAAGGUUAAAACUCAAAGGAAUAGACGGGGACCCACACAAGCAGUGGAUCACGUGGUUUAAUUCGAUAAUAAACGGGGAACCUUACCCAGACUUGACAUCCUAAGAAUUUUUUAGAAAUAAGAAAGUGCCUUUAUUGGAACUUAGAGACAGGUGCUGCAUGGUUGUCGUCAGCUCGUGCCUUGAGGUGUUCGGUUAAGUCCGUUAACGAGCGCAACCCAUGUCUCUAGUUAUUAUGUCUAGAGAGACUGCCUUGGUUAACAAGGAGGAAGGCGUGGAUGACGUCAAAUCAGCAUGGCUCUUACGUCUGGGGCUACACACAUGAUACAAUGGUAUAUACAAAAAGCAGCAAUAUGGUGACAUUGAGCUAAUCUUUUAAAAUAUAUCUAAGUCCGGAUUGAAGUCUGAAACUCGACUUCAUGAAGUUGGAAUUGCUAGUAAUCGUGAAUCAGAUAUGUCACGGUGAAUAUGUUCCUGGGUCUUGUACUCACCGCCCGUCACGGCAUGGGAGGUAAUAAUAUUGGAAGCCCCCUUGGGAAUAUAGGGGUCCAUAGUAGGAUUACUGACUGGGCUGAAGUCGUAACAAGGUAACC